RNAcentral lists this ribosomal RNA (408 nucleotides) under uncultured bacterium. Its description in RNAcentral is "partial 16S ribosomal RNA". It matches the Rfam family "Bacterial small subunit ribosomal RNA", at positions 28 to 526 of the family's 1533-position model. The record is from RNAcentral.
GACGAACGCUGGCGGCGUGCUUAACACAUGCAAGUCGAACGAAGUGGCGAACGGGUGAGUAACGCGUAAUCAACCUGCCCUUCAGAGGGGGACAACAGUUUGAAACGACUGCUAAUACCGCAUACUGAAGGAGGGGAUUUCGUCUGCUUAGCUAGUUGGAGGGGUAACGGCUCACCAAGGCGAUGAACAGUAGCCUGUCUGAGAUGAGGAACGGCCACAUUGGGACUGGGACACGGCCCAGACUCCGACGGUAGGCAGACGUGGGGAAUCUUCCGCAAUGGACGAAAGUCUGACGGAGCAACGCCGCGUGAGUGAUGACGGCCUUCGGGUUGUAAAGCUCUGUUAAUCGGUACGCGGUACCGGAAUAGAAAGCCACGGCUAACUACGUGCCAGCCGCCGCGGUAAUAC